CAGUAGCCGCGGUAAUACGAAGGGUGCAAGCGUUACUCGGAAUUACUGGGCGUAAAGCGUGCGUAGGUGGUGGUUUAAGUCCGUUGUGAAAUCCCCGGGCUCAACCUGGGAAUGGCAAUGGAUACUGGCAAGCUAGAGUGUGUCAGAGGAUGGUGGAAUUCCCGGUGUAGCGGUGAAAUGCGUAGAGAUCGGGAGGAACAUCAGUGGCGAAGGCGGCCAUCUGGGACAACACUGACGCUGAGGCACGAAAGCGUGGGGAGCAAACAGGAUUAGAUACCCCGGUAGUCCCUGUCUCUUAUAC
RNAcentral lists this ribosomal RNA (301 nucleotides) under uncultured bacterium. RNAcentral's name for it is "partial 16S ribosomal RNA". It matches the Rfam family "Bacterial small subunit ribosomal RNA", at positions 509 to 807 of the family's 1533-position model. The record is from RNAcentral.